Labrus bergylta (ballan wrasse) is the source of this 603-nucleotide non-coding RNA. The record is from RefSeq and is a predicted model, not a curated record. Lineage: Eukaryota; Metazoa; Chordata; Actinopteri; Labriformes; Labridae.
ACUUGCGAGCACGGGACAGGUUACUUAGAAAGCUGAUUUAUUGGAUAUAAUAACAGCCUGAACCGUACGGAAAAGGAUAUCUCGCUACAUAGGAGGACACCCUCUGUCUGUGUCUUGCCUCACAGGAUGUCCAGCAUAGUGUUACUGCAGUAGAGGGCCAUACCACAUAAGGAUCUGCAAACAGAGGGACUCUGCUAGUGGAUCAUCAUGCCUCGUCUAGGUGUCAGUCACAGCUUCAAGCUUAAAUCUAACCCUGUUCGGCUUCUCUGUGUUCUGCUCGGCCUCUUAGUUAUACACACUCAUGCAAAAGAUGCCCUUCCUGUACCGCAGCAGGUCAGCCUGUCACCAAACCUUUACAAACAGCAACUAUCCAUAUCCUGGCUCGGAGGAGCAGCCACAACGUUUGACCUCAUGAUUCUACGAACUGAACUCAAUGAAACUGCCUUCUAUGUACGUGCUCAUGCUUUUUUCUUUUUGUACAAUAACUUUCAUUUGUAGAAUUCAUUCUUAUACAAAAACAGCCUGAAUGAUACAGAAUUUCUGAGGGCGCUGUUUACAUUGGGCCUCAUUGACCAACUGGUCUGAAACACAUAUUUGUUCUAA